This 255-nucleotide ribosomal RNA is filed under the name uncultured bacterium. RNAcentral describes it as "partial 16S ribosomal RNA". It matches the Rfam family "Bacterial small subunit ribosomal RNA", at positions 524 to 776 of the family's 1533-position model. The record is from RNAcentral.
UACGAAGGGGGCUAGCGUUACUCGGAAUUACUGGGCGUAAAGGGCGCGUAGGCGGCGCUCCAAAGUUAGGCGUGAAAGUCCUGGGCUCAACCUGGGAACUGCGCUUGAUACUGGAGUGCUUGAGGAUGGAAGAGGGUCGUGGAAUUCCCAGUGUAGAGGUGAAAUUCGUAGAUAUUGGGAAGAACACCGGUGGCGAAGGCGGCGACCUGGUCCAUUACUGACGCUGAGGCGCGACAGCGUGGGGGAGCAAACAGG